RNAcentral lists this ribosomal RNA (468 nucleotides) under uncultured bacterium. RNAcentral describes it as "partial 16S ribosomal RNA". It matches the Rfam family "Bacterial small subunit ribosomal RNA", at positions 28 to 507 of the family's 1533-position model. The record is from RNAcentral.
GACGAACGCUGGCGGCGUGCUUAACACAUGCAAGUCGAACGGAAAGGCCCUGCUUUUGUGGGGUGCUCGAGUGGCGAACGGGUGAGUAACACGUGAGUAACCUGCCCUUGACUUUGGGAUAACUUCAGGAAACUGGGGCUAAUACCGGAUAGGAGCUCCUGCUGCAUGGUGGGGGUUGGAAAGUUUCGGCGGUUGGGGAUGGACUCGCGGCUUCUCCGCUUGUUGGUGGGGUAGUGGCUGUCCAAGGUUUCGAAGGGUAGCCGGCCUGAGAGGGUGACCGGCCACAUUGGGACUGAGAUACGGCCCAGACGCCUACGGGAGGCAGCAGUGGGGAAUAUUGCACAAUGGGCGGAAGCCUGAUGCAGCAACGCCGCGUGCGGGAUGACGGCCUUCGGGUUGUAAACCGCUUUCGCCUGUGACGAAGCGUGAGUGACGGUAAUGGGUAAAGAAGCACCGGCUAACUACGUG